AUUGAACGCUGGCGGCAUGCCUUACACAUGCAAGUCGAACGGCAGCACGGGUGCUUGCACCUGGUGGCGAGUGGCGAACGGGUGAGUAAUACAUCGGAACGUACCUUAUCGUGGGGGAUAACGCAGCGAAAGCUGUGCUAAUACCGCAUACGCCCUGAGGGGGAAAGCGGGGGAUCGCAAGACCUCGCGCGAUUAGAGCGGCCGAUGCCUGAUUAGCUUGUUGGUGGGGUAAAAGCCCACCAAGGCGACGAUCAGUAGCUGGUCUGAGAGGACGAUAAGCCACACUGGGACGGAGACACGGCCCAGACUCCUACGGGAGGCAGCAGUGGGGAAUUUUGGACAAUGGGGGCAACCCUGAUCCAGCAAUGCCGCGUGAGUGAAGAAAGCCUUCGGGUUGUAAAGCUCUUUUGUCAGGGAAGAAACGCCGGCUCUAACACAGUCUGGGAAUGACGGUACCUGAAGAAUAAGCACCGGCUAACUACGUGCCAGCCGCCGCCGUAA
This 501-nucleotide ribosomal RNA is filed under the name uncultured bacterium. RNAcentral describes it as "partial 16S ribosomal RNA". It matches the Rfam family "Bacterial small subunit ribosomal RNA", at positions 29 to 523 of the family's 1533-position model. The record is from RNAcentral.